Molecule: unclassified non-coding RNA, 1178 nt
Filed under: Leishmania donovani
Lineage: Eukaryota; Euglenozoa; Kinetoplastea; Trypanosomatida; Trypanosomatidae
Description: gene:LdHU3.22.1520(CDS-product:ChaC-like_protein_ putative)
Source: RNAcentral
CUGGGGAAAGCAGUAUUAGUCUUACAUAUCUUCGCACAUACAGGCGCGCAAGCAUGUCAUCCUCAUCGGAACUGGCAACAAGGGCAACGCGCUACCAUGAGCAGUUCGGCCUUCCGUCCUUCGACGAUCAUGUCUUCGUCAUCUUCGGUUAUGGCUCCAUCCUGUGGAAGCAGAACUUUGAGUUCGACGCGGAGUACGAGACGUACAUCAAGGGCUACAAGCGCGUUUUCUACCAGGGCUCACGCGAUCACCGCGGUGUGCCGGACAAGCCGGGCCGCGUGGUGACGCUGCUGCCCUCGGAGGACAAGGAGCAGCGCGUGUACGGCAAGGCGUACCAACUGCCGGCGGACCCUGAGAAGCUGAACAAGAUCUUCCAGGCGUUGGAUGUGCGCGAGAAAGGCGGAUAUGAGCGCCUCUUCGUGACCAUCUACGACGCCCACCCGUCGCUUGCCGCCGACGGCGAGGACCGCCCGCUAAGAUUGGCAGACAAGGGCAUGGACACGUCCGGCAAGGCUAUGGUGUGCCUGUGCUACAACGCCACCGAGGACAACGCCGACUACCUCGGUCCUGCCACGAUGGAGGCCAUGGCACGUCAGAUCCUGAACAGUACCGGGCUGAGCGGGCCGAACCGCGAGUAUUUGUACAACCUCGAUCGUGCGCUGCGGGACAUGGGGGCGGCCGACCCGCACGUCUUCGAGCUCGCGGCGCUGGCAAGGCAGCUGGAGGUCGAGUGCCCGCCUUAAUAUGUGGCGAAGAGAAGAUAUGAGGAGUGUUUUAUGGUGCGGUCGGUGGCGCACCACGGGUUGCACGGGGGCCCUGUGCGCAGCGAACCCCGCCACUGGUGAUGCGUGAUCUGUGAGUGAGUCUGGUGCCAACCUGUUCACGCAUGGAGCCGGCAGAGGGUGCGGACGCGUGUCUUUCAUGUGCACACACUACGUACUUGCGGCUUGUCUAGUGUUGGAGCAAGUGGGCCGGUGCACCGGUGUGCACGCCUCGCUUCCCUCCUCUGCUGUUUGCAGCCGGCCGCUGGUAUGGGCGCGCGGUGAAGGGCUUGCCGAUGUGCAUAUAACCCCCAUGCACCACAUGCACGCCGUCCGUCAGGUAACUCGUGUGUCGAUGGCGUCGCUCUCGCCGAUGCGCCAUCGCUCUGAAGCGCCUGGCCCCCUCUCCUCCCCACC